Molecule: ribosomal RNA, 492 nt
Filed under: uncultured bacterium
Lineage: Bacteria
Description: partial 16S ribosomal RNA
Rfam family: Bacterial small subunit ribosomal RNA
Source: RNAcentral
AGUGAACGCUGGCGGUAGGCCUAACACAUGCAAGUCGAACGGCAGCACAGUAAGAGCUUGCUCUUACGGGUGGCGAGUGGCGGACGGGUGAGGAAUACAUCGGAAUCUACUUUUUCGUGGGGGAUAACGUAGGGAAACUUACGCUACUACCGCAUACGACCUACGGGUGGAAGCAGGGGAUCUUCGGACCUUGCGCGUUUGAAUGAGACGAUGUCGGAUUAGCUAGUUGGCGGGGUAAGGGCCCACCAAGGCGACGAUCCGUAGCUGGCCUGAGAGGAUGAUCAGCCACACUGGAACUGAGACACGGUCCAGACUCCUACGGGAGGCAGCAGUGGGGGAUAUUGGACAAUGGGCGCAAGCCUGAUCCAGCCAUACCGCGUGGGUGAAGAAGGCCUUCGGGUUGUAAAGCCCUUUUGUUGGGAAAGAAAAGCAGCAGGUUAAUACCCCGCUGUUCUGACGGUACCCAAAGAAUAAGCACCGGCUAACUUCGUG